This 86-nucleotide transfer RNA is filed under the name Bacteriophage sp. Its description in RNAcentral is "tRNA-Leu". It matches the Rfam family "tRNA". Rfam says of the family: Transfer RNA (tRNA) molecules are approximately 80 nucleotides in length. Their secondary structure includes four short double-helical elements and three loops (D, anti-codon, and T loops). The record is from RNAcentral.
GCGAUUGUGGCGGAAUUGGCAGACGCAAGGGACUUAAAAUCCCUCGGUUUAGAACCGUGUGAGUUCAAAUCUCACCAGUCGCACCA